RNAcentral lists this ribosomal RNA (497 nucleotides) under uncultured bacterium. RNAcentral's name for it is "partial 16S ribosomal RNA". It matches the Rfam family "Bacterial small subunit ribosomal RNA", at positions 28 to 507 of the family's 1533-position model. The record is from RNAcentral.
GAUGAACGCUGGCGGCGUGCCUAAUACAUGCAAGUCGAGCGAACGGACGAGAAGCUUGCUUUUCUGAUGUUAGCGGCGGACGGGUGAGUAACACGUGGAUAACCUACCUAUAAGACUGGGAUAACUUCGGGAAACCGGAGCUAAUACCGGAUAAUAUUUUGAACCGCAUGGUUCAAAAGUGAAAGACGGUCUUGCUGUCACUUAUAGAUGGAUCCGCGCUGCAUUAGCUAGUUGGUAAGGUAACGGCUUACCAAGGCAACGAUGCAUAGCCGACCUGAGAGGGGGAUCGGCCACACUGGAACGGAGACACGGUCCAGACUCCUACGGGAGGCAGCAGUAGGGAAUCUUCCGCAAUGGGCGAAAGCCUGACGGAGCAACGCCGCGUGAGUGAUGAAGGUCUUCGGAUCGUAAAACUCUGUUAUUAGGGAAGAACAGAUGUGUAAGUAACUGUGCACAUCUUGACGGUACCUAAUCAGAAAGCCACGGCUAACUACGUG